Molecule: long non-coding RNA, 585 nt
Organism: Homo sapiens (human)
Lineage: Eukaryota; Metazoa; Chordata; Mammalia; Primates; Hominidae
Source: Ensembl
ACCUACUCUGCCUCCGCCUGCUCCAAUGCAGGGGUGAAGUCACUGCCAACGUUUAACCCUUUCCCCACGUGGGCCUGGCUCCAGUCAGAUCGAGGGUCUGGGAGGGCUGCAGGGAUCUCUCAGUCGCCAAUGGUUGCAGACAAUCCAGUAAGCCACAGCUGUUACUUGCUGCACUGAACCCUGCCUGCGCUGAGUACCGAAAGCAGGAGGGAAGGUAGCCACAUCUCUUGAGCCCGGCGCUGUCCUAAGCUCCUGACAUCCCCACAGGCCUGAGAAAGGGGCACCACAAACAGGAACCAGGCUGAGACUGAGCCUGUGGACCCUGGUAGCAAGGGCGCCCUCUCUCUAAGAAGCCCUCUGUCAUGCUACCGAUGUUGCAGAACACCUGGGGCGGAGUAGGGAGUGCCAAAGCGCAGGGGAUGAGUGCACAGCAGGGAGACUUCUAUGGUCUGCAGACAGGUGACAAUGACAAACAGCAAUAAAAGCCACACACCAUAGCUCAGGAUAACAAGGGCUGAGAUGCGUUUGGACAAUGAGAAGAAAAUAAAAAUUAAAAAAAACAGCUGAUUCACCAAAUGAAGGGCA